Molecule: long non-coding RNA, 233 nt
Organism: Lampris incognitus (smalleye Pacific opah)
Lineage: Eukaryota; Metazoa; Chordata; Actinopteri; Lampriformes; Lampridae
Exons: 3
Source: RefSeq, a predicted model, not a curated record
CUCUCACUCGCUCUCUCUCUCUCCAUCUCCUGUGGCCACAUGGAGUUUCUGGCCGUUAGUUGGACAGGAAAGAGCAUCAGCCGAGUCAUUUCCUGUCAGCUGUCAAAGCACUGGUCACUCUUUGAAAGGAUCUGACAGGAUUUCAUGUGAGUGGGACCGUUUUUUGCCUUGCCAGAGGGGAGACACGUGGAGAAAAUGCAAACUCCACACAGAGGACGCCCUGGGAUGACCCC